This 176-nucleotide small RNA is filed under the name Gopherus agassizii (Agassiz's desert tortoise). Its description in RNAcentral is "TUC338 (ENSGAGG00000011674.1)". The record is from RNAcentral. Lineage: Eukaryota; Metazoa; Chordata; Testudines; Testudinidae.
UCCAUUGCCAUGGAGAUGAAAGCUCCUAUUUAUCUGCAGAACAGGUACAGUAUAGGAAGUGGCAAGCCAGGCUUCCCUACACUGGCUCCCAAAUAUGCCUCAACCCUGACCUGACAAUGACCAGGCCUAGGGAUAAGGGAGUUCAGUCUUCAUUGCCUAGUCAGUCCUGAACUCUC